Molecule: long non-coding RNA, 810 nt
Organism: Mesocricetus auratus (golden hamster)
Lineage: Eukaryota; Metazoa; Chordata; Mammalia; Rodentia; Cricetidae
Exons: 2
Source: RefSeq, a predicted model, not a curated record
AGGGAGAAAGGGUUCCAUUUUGUCCACAGCUCAAGGAUGCUGUCCAUCAAGGCAGGAACAUCACAGAGAUGGCAUCAUGAGGCAGCUGCAGAGGGAAGCUAGUGCGGGCGCUUAGUCAGGGAGGAGACCCAGAACUAAAUCAGACAAUGUGGCCAGGAGGAGACAGGGGACAGCAGACACAGCUGCCUUCACGACUGCACCCCUUCCGGGGGAGAGCUGGGUUCCUGGAACAGAAGCCUUAAACAAUUGAAGGACCAGGCUCCAGGCCCAGACUGGAUCUUACUAGUCAGCUAUUGGGCAACGACAACACUGACGUCCCUUUGCCCUUUCAUCGGGCCUCUGAGAAAGCCUUGAGGCCAUCGGGCUCCCAACACCCAGGAACUGGAGUUAUGGGUGGUGCCGAGGCCCCAUGAGGGGGAUCUGCUGGAAACCAAAAACAGGUACCGUUAGAGCACCAAGCACUCUUAACUGCUGAGCCCUCUCUGCAGCCCCUCCACAUAGGAUCAUUUUAGGGGCAUUUGGGUAGUUUCCUGUUAGAGUUCAACAGACAGUUAGCUCAUGUUCGAGAUAUUUCUCUAAGAAAAGAGCAAAGUGAUGACUACAGAACUCUUAUAAUAACAUGUAAAAAUUACAGGAAAUAAGAGAAAUUUAUUAAAAAGAGAAGAAGAAAGAUCAGUCUUGUGAAAUAAAACAUUACUCAUACAUUAGAAAUAAUAAAGGAAUAUAAGCAUCUUGCUGUAUUAUCCCAUGCAAGUAUUGGGACAUUCAUUAAAUUAAAUCGAAUUAAAUUAAAUAUGGUGGUAAGCAUUA